CAGAAUGAUGGAGGAGUCAACGUUUCCUUAGGACAGACUUUACCUCUUGAAUAGAGGGCGAAUGGUGUUCUGUUUCGGUGUAAAGCACGAAGAACUUCUAAAUAUUUCAAGAAAUGGAUAAACAGGAUUACAGAGAGAUUGGCGCAGGGAGUGGACUGAGAGGAGUAGCAUGCUGAGAAGAGGACUCCAUAGGAGGCUUCUAUAAGAGCACAGUUGGGC
This 219-nucleotide long non-coding RNA is filed under the name Fukomys damarensis (Damara mole-rat). RNAcentral's name for it is "lncRNA (ENSFDAG00000025469.1)". Lineage: Eukaryota; Metazoa; Chordata; Mammalia; Rodentia; Bathyergidae. The record is from RNAcentral.